This 623-nucleotide long non-coding RNA is filed under the name Ananas comosus (pineapple). Its description in RNAcentral is "long non-coding RNA (ACOM_LNC030187)". The record is from RNAcentral. Lineage: Eukaryota; Viridiplantae; Streptophyta; Magnoliopsida; Poales; Bromeliaceae.
AAAGGUAAACUUCGAAUACCCCUGUGAUUUCACACUUUCUCACUUUCGUAUUCUGUAGUUUAAACUGUAUUAAAUUAGUCUCUAUGGUUUCGCACUUUCUCACUUUAGUACCCUAUAGUUUAAAAUGUAUCAAAUUAGUACCAUAUAGUUUUAUUUUUCUCUUUUUAUUAUCCAUAUUAUUAAUUUUUUUCGUUAAAUCAAUGACAAAAUUAAAAUUAAAGAAUACUAAAGUGAAUAUUCGACAAACCUAAGUAGGGUAUCUGAAGAAUUUUUGUAUAUAAUUUAACGAAAGAUUAACGGAGGAAAAAAAUUAGUGACAAAAUUAAAACUAAAGGGUACGAAAGUAAAUAUUCGAUAAACCUAAAUAGUAUAUCUGAAGUUUUUUUGUAUAUAAUUUAACGAAAUAUUAACAGAGGAGCCGACGAAAAGAGAAAAAUGAAACCGCAGGGUACUAAAUUGAUGCACUUUAAACGACAGGGUACUAGAGUGAGAAAGUGCGAAACCACAGGGUACUAAAUUGAUACACUUUAAACCACAAGAUACUAAAGUGAAAAAAUACGAAACCACAGAGGUGGUAUUUAAAGUUUUGCCUAUAAUAAAUCCACCCAUCCUCUCUCAAUGUC